This 446-nucleotide ribosomal RNA is filed under the name uncultured bacterium. Its description in RNAcentral is "partial 16S ribosomal RNA". It matches the Rfam family "Bacterial small subunit ribosomal RNA", at positions 330 to 793 of the family's 1533-position model. The record is from RNAcentral.
UCCAGACUCCUACGGGAGGCAGCAGUGGGGGAUAUUGCACAAUGGGGGGAACCCUGAUGCAGCGACGCCGCGUGGGCGAUGGAGCGCCUCGGCGCGUAAAGCCCUAUCAGCAGGGAAGAAGAUGACGGUACCUGACUAAGAAGCCCCGGCUAAAUACGUGCCAGCAGCCGCGGUAAUACGUAUGGGGCAAGCGUUAUCCGGAUUUACUGGGUGUAAAGGGGGCGCAGACGGCGAUGCAAGCCAGGAGUGAAAGCCCGGGGCCCAACCCCGGGACUGCUCUUGGAACUGCGUGGCUGGAGUGCAGGAGGGGCAGGCGGAAUUCCUGGUGUAGCGGUGAAAUGCGUAGAUAUCAGGAGGAACACCGGUGGCGAAGGCGGCCUGCUGGACUGCGACUGACGUUGAGGCCCGAAAGCGUGGGGAGCAAACAGGAUUAGAUACCCGUGUAU